RNAcentral lists this ribosomal RNA (253 nucleotides) under uncultured bacterium. RNAcentral describes it as "partial 16S ribosomal RNA". It matches the Rfam family "Bacterial small subunit ribosomal RNA", at positions 524 to 776 of the family's 1533-position model. The record is from RNAcentral.
UACAGAGGGUGCAAACGUUGUUCGGAAUUACUGGGCGUAAAGCGUGUGUAGGCGGUGACAUAAGUCAGAUGUGAAAGCCCAGGGCUCAACCUUGGAAGAGCAUUUGAUACUGUGUCGCUUGAGUAUCGGAGAGGUUGGUGGAAUUCUCGGUGUAGAGGUGAAAUUCGUAGAUAUCGGGAGGAACAUCUGUGGCGAAGGCGGCCAACUGGACGAAUACUGACGCUGAGACACGAAAGUGCGGGGAGCAAACAGG